GUAUAUGGCUGUACCACCCUGAAUGUGCCCAAUCUCAUCUGAUUUUGGAAGCUAAGCAGGAUCAGGCCUGAUUAGUACUUGGAUGGGAGAUUUAUACAAUGUAUGGUUGUAAGUCAUAAAUC
This is a ribosomal RNA of Microcebus murinus (gray mouse lemur), 122 nucleotides long. The record is from Ensembl. NCBI's taxonomy places the organism in Eukaryota, Metazoa, Chordata, Mammalia, Primates, Cheirogaleidae.